Molecule: non-coding RNA, 45 nt
Filed under: Schistosoma mattheei
Lineage: Eukaryota; Metazoa; Platyhelminthes; Trematoda; Strigeidida; Schistosomatidae
Source: RNAcentral
AUCCGGCUGACGAGUACCAAAUAGGACGAAACGCGUGUCCUCGAU